This 253-nucleotide ribosomal RNA is filed under the name uncultured bacterium. Its description in RNAcentral is "partial 16S ribosomal RNA". It matches the Rfam family "Bacterial small subunit ribosomal RNA", at positions 524 to 776 of the family's 1533-position model. The record is from RNAcentral.
UACGGAGGGUGCGAGCGUUGUCCGGAAUCACUGGGCGUAAAGGGCGCGUAGGUGGCGCGGAGAGUCAACGGUGAAAGCUCGGGGCUCAACCCCGAGUCGGCCGUCGAUACUUCCGGGCUGGAGCACUGUAGAGGCAGGUGGAGUUCCGGGUGUAGCGGUGGAAUGCGUAGAGAUCGUAAGGAAGGCCAGUGGCGAAGGCGAGUUCCUGGACAGUUACUGACGCUGAGGCACGAAGGCCAGGGGAGCAAACGGG